UAUUAUUUUAAUUGUGAAAGAAGGGCCUGAGUAGUAUUAGUUAAGAGCUUAAAACUCAAAGAAUUUGGCGGUGUUUCAGUCUUUUCAGAGGAAUCUGUCCUGUAAUCGACAAUACACGUUAUAUGUCACUUGGUUUUGUUAUAUUCAGCUUGUAUACCGCUGUUAUAAGGAUAUCUUUUUAGAGGAGCAAUUUUCUUAAAAUUUAUAAAAUUAUAUGUCAGGUCAAGGUGCAGUUUAUGAUCAAGAAAGAGAUGGAUUACAAUAAAAUUAUUUAAACGGAAUCUAUAAUGUGAUUUAUAGAGGAAGGUGGAUUUGAAAGUAAUAAUAUCAUAUUAAGAUGUUAUGAUUAAAGCACUGAAACAUGUACACAUCGCCCGUCGCUCUCAUUAUUAAGAUGAG
This 399-nucleotide ribosomal RNA is filed under the name Philophyllia sp. Pak181. RNAcentral describes it as "partial 12S ribosomal RNA". It matches the Rfam family "Microsporidia small subunit ribosomal RNA", at positions 752 to 1220 of the family's 1311-position model. The record is from RNAcentral. Lineage: Eukaryota; Metazoa; Arthropoda; Insecta; Orthoptera; Tettigoniidae.